Chlorocebus sabaeus (green monkey) is the source of this 581-nucleotide non-coding RNA. The record is from RefSeq and is a predicted model, not a curated record. NCBI's taxonomy places the organism in Eukaryota, Metazoa, Chordata, Mammalia, Primates, Cercopithecidae.
CUUUGAUUUGUCCCAGCUACCCAGGAGGCUCAGGCGGGAGGAUUGCUUGACCCUUGGAGGCCGAGGUUACAGUGGGUUGAGCUCGCGCGACUGCACUCUCCAGCCUGGGCUAUUGCUUUUGGAAGUAGGGCCUGGAUCUCCCUCCUGUUUGCUUGGGGAUAAACACAUAGUAUCAUGGGGUUAUGAACACAUGUUGCCUGCGCCAGAGAGCAACACUGGCUCCAGUUUUGAAAAUAAAGGCCUGCUGGGGGGCUGCCUUGCCCUGGUGUCUCCUGCAGAGGAAGGACGUGGCGUGUGUGGACAGCCAGCCUGGCGGUGGUGCGUAGUGACUGCCCAGCCAGUGGAAGCUGCUGCUCUUGCCUCUUCGGACCGUCCCUGCCCUGUCCAGGACGUCACUUCAUCGAAACACUGCAGAGACAAGGUCUCCCUAGGUGGCCCAGGCUGGUCUCAAACUCCUGGACUCAGCAGCCGGUGUUUUCAGCUGGUGCAGAUCCAGCUAGUAUGCUCGUUAGGCUUCUAGCUGAAGGAAGUGUCCACUGUAAUCUCGCUGGCAUCCCAUCACCUUCCAGAAGCAGGACGUC